UAUAAUUAUUUCAUUUUGGUUUCCGGAUCUUAGUUUAGUUUACGGUUUUAGUAAUUAUUUUUUGUGCUUAGUUUCUAUUAUGAACUAUUUAAAUUAAUUGGGGUUGUCGUUUUAAGGCAGUCUUUUGAGGUAAACGAUACAGUGUCGAAUAAUGAAAACAAGCGUUGUUCAAUAUCAAAAGGUAAAAAGUGUCAUGGAAUAUAACUAACUUCAAUAACAUGUACUAUAUUUUAUUGAGUUGUACAAGUAGGGGAUGUAAUAGAGCACACACUACAUCGAAAGAAAGUUAACCGAUAACUAACGAUGCAACUAAUGAUAAUAUUCGUUGAAGAGUGCAUAAUUUUUAUAAAGUCAAUUUAGUACGAAAGUUGAACAUGAAAUUGCAUACAUACUCUGAUUAUGACUUUAAAUAUUUAGUGACACUGCGGCGUGUUUCAAUUGAGUUUGCUUUUAAACAUAAGAAACUUGACAACUUAAUUAUUAUAUAUUAUCAUGCAGUAUCCCACAAUAUCGACAAAAAUAUUCAAGGAUUAUUAAGCUACACUUUAUAAGACUGCCCCCGAAUUAUUGUAUGUUAAAUCCUAUAUAAAUGGUUUGUAGUAAAUUGAAAAAGUUGGAACCAGAACCAUGCAAAUAUAAUUAUUUACCUACUUUAAGUGCGAUAGUGAUUGGAAACAUAUGUCAAGUUUAUCGCAAUUUGACAAUGAUCUAAAUGAUCUAUAGAGAAAUUGUGUUGAAAACAUAAUUACAUAAUAGGGCGAGAGGAGUUUGAAUACUUGAAAAAAUGGGUCGAAGGGGAAUGUCAGGUUUUUUGAGUUUUGGUAAACCAUAUAUUUUAGGAGGUAAGCAGGCAUUGUGAAUUUUCAAUUUUUUUGCGUCUGAUGGCGAAAUAAAAAGUUGUUCUUCCCAAGACCGAAUUAGAGUAUUAUUUUGUUUUUGAUAAGAAUUCGCAGGGUCUUGUUUAAUUUUUUUGUAAGUUGUCUUAUCGUUUAAUAAUUUCAUCAUUUUGUUAUUAUAAUUCUUUGGUUUAAGUUAUAUUUUGAGGUGUGGUAUUGUUUUGUUGUCUUUUGUUUUUCAAUUUAUUUUUGAAAUUAGUAAUAAUACCACAAAUAUCAGAUCUUAUUUUAUUUUGAAUGUCGUUAUUUAGAUGAUUGGUGCUGCAUUCAAUAUUACAUAAAAUAUUUGUCACAGGUAAUUCUUUGUCAAUAGAAAUAUUUUGUGAAAAAUUGGGACCUAAAGAUAAAGCUUCAUUUAAUUCAUCUGAUAUGAGAGUAUCAGUUAAAUUCUCGAUCUAAAAUCUAAAAUAUAUGGUUUACCAAAACUCCAAAAACCUGAUAUUCCAUAUAUACAUAGGAACGUGGCAAGGAACCCAAAGUUUCAAAAAAUCAUGUGUACUGUUCUAAAGAAAGAAGCGAAAGUGGCGUGUACCUAGAAAAAUUGAGAAGAAGAGGAAUCAUUCACGUCUGUUGAAUAAAUUCUACAACUGCCAGGUUGGGAGUUUUCACCA
Diorhabda sublineata is the source of this 1507-nucleotide long non-coding RNA. RefSeq lists it as uncharacterized. The record is from RefSeq and is a predicted model, not a curated record. Lineage: Eukaryota; Metazoa; Arthropoda; Insecta; Coleoptera; Chrysomelidae. The transcript is spliced from 3 exons.